RNAcentral lists this small nuclear RNA (119 nucleotides) under Otolemur garnettii (small-eared galago). RNAcentral's name for it is "U5 spliceosomal RNA". It matches the Rfam family "U5 spliceosomal RNA". From Rfam's summary of the family: U5 RNA is a component of both types of known spliceosome. The precise function of this molecule is unknown, though it is known that the 5' loop is required for splice site selection and p220 binding, and that both the 3' stem-loop and the Sm site are important for Sm protein binding and cap methylation. Lineage: Eukaryota; Metazoa; Chordata; Mammalia; Primates; Galagidae. The record is from Rfam by way of RNAcentral.
CACUAUAGUUUCUCUUCAGAUCAAACAAAUCUUUUGCCUUUUAAUCAAGAUUUCUGUGGAGAGGAACGGAAAAAAAAAUAGAUCCAACAAUAUGUUGUUCAUAAGAAACAUAUUUCAAA